UGCAUUUCGACACGGCACCAAUGCACUAUUGAACAACGGCAAGGCAUGCUCACCGGGCCUGGCAUUGCAACGGAGUUAGCGAAAAACAGCUUGGCUGUGGCGAGAAACUGAUGCCGGCCGCUGGAGCUUCGUAGGAGAGCUACUGCUGCUUACCUGGUGCAACAACGUUGGAUGAACG
Molecule: long non-coding RNA, 178 nt
Organism: Dermacentor albipictus
Lineage: Eukaryota; Metazoa; Arthropoda; Arachnida; Ixodida; Ixodidae
Source: RefSeq, a predicted model, not a curated record